Molecule: long non-coding RNA, 793 nt
Organism: Notothenia coriiceps (black rockcod)
Lineage: Eukaryota; Metazoa; Chordata; Actinopteri; Perciformes; Nototheniidae
Exons: 2
Source: RefSeq, a predicted model, not a curated record
AAUAUGUGAACAUGUAGGGUCCUUUGUGGAGAAUAACAAAGCUCUGAGUUUGAGAGUGAUGUAAUGUCCAUGUCUCCAUGCUGCUCUGACCCCCCCCCCCCCUCUUUCAGGGUGGAGCCUGCUGGAGUCCGAUGGUUGAGACACGGUCUGAGGAAGUAUUCCUGUGAACUCUCACUCGACACAAACACAGCACACAGAGAACUCAAACUGUCUGAGGACAACAGGAAGGUGACAUGUGUGAGGAGGAGCAGCCAUAUCCUGAUCAUCCAGAGAGGUUUGAUUACUGGUAUCAGCUGAUGUGUAGAGAAGCUCUGACUGGUCGCUGUUACUGGGAGGUCGAGUGGAGAGGAUGGGUUACUAUAUCAGUGACUUACAGAGGAAUCAGCAGGAGAGGAAAGAGUGAAGACUGUUUGUUUGGAAGGAAUGAUCAGUCCUGGAGUCUGAGCUGCUCUGAUGGUCGUUACUCUGUCUAUCACAAUAACAGAGUAACACACAUCUCCUCCUCCUCCUCCUCCUCUGGUAGAGUAGCAGUGUAUCUGGAUCAUCCUGCUGGCUCUCUCUCCUUCUACAGAGUCUCCUCUGAGACACUGAUCCACCUCCACACCUUCAGAACCACAUUCACUGAACCUCUCUAUGCUGGGUUUGGAGUUUGGCUCUGGUUCCUCAGUGUCUCUGGUUCCUCUGUAGGAGGAAGAGUCUCCUCCUGUUCCAGAGACUUCCUCCCUGCUGCCCAGAGAGUUCAGUCUGUUCAGGAUCACAGCUGAUGUUAGUUAGUACCAACCUGAUGAGUUUA